UACGGAGGAUGCGAGCGUUAUCCGGAUUUAUUGGGUUUAAAGGGUGCGCAGGCGGCCUGUUAAGUCAGCGGUAAAAGCCCGGGGCUCAACCCCGGCGAGCCGUUGAAACUGGCGGGCUGGAGUUGGAGAGAAGUACGCGGAAUGCGCGGUGUAGCGGUGAAAUGCUUAGAUAUCACACAGAACACCGAUUGCGAAGGCAUCUCACGAAUCCGCGAUUGACGCUGAUGCACGAAAGCGUGGGUAUCAAACAGG
This 252-nucleotide ribosomal RNA is filed under the name uncultured Bacteroidales bacterium. RNAcentral describes it as "partial 16S ribosomal RNA". It matches the Rfam family "Bacterial small subunit ribosomal RNA", at positions 524 to 776 of the family's 1533-position model. Lineage: Bacteria; Pseudomonadati; Bacteroidota; Bacteroidia; Bacteroidales. The record is from RNAcentral.